GCCGAUGUGGUGGAAUUGGUAGACACGCCAUCUUGAGGUGGUGGUGGCUCAUGCUGUGCCGGUUCGAGUCCGGCCAUCGGCA
This 82-nucleotide transfer RNA is filed under the name Beggiatoa alba B18LD. It matches the Rfam family "tRNA". From Rfam's summary of the family: Transfer RNA (tRNA) molecules are approximately 80 nucleotides in length. Their secondary structure includes four short double-helical elements and three loops (D, anti-codon, and T loops). Lineage: Bacteria; Pseudomonadati; Pseudomonadota; Gammaproteobacteria; Thiotrichales; Thiotrichaceae. The record is from Rfam by way of RNAcentral.